GAUGAACGCUAGCUACAGGCUUAACACAUGCAAGUCGAGGGGCAACAUGGUCUUAGCUUGCUAAGGCCGAUGGCCACCUGCGCACGGGUGCGUAACACGUAUCCAACCUGCCGUCUACUCUUGGACAGCCUUCUGAAAGGCAGAUUAAUACAAGAGGUCAACGUGAGUCCGCAUGUUCACAUGAUUAAAGGUAUUCCGGUAGACGAUGGUGAUGCGUUCCAUUAGAUAGUAGGCGGGGUAACGGCCCACCUAGUCUUCGAUGGAUAGGGGUUCUGAGAGGAAGGUCCACUACAAUGGAACUGCGGCACAGUCCAAACUGGUACGGGAGGGAGCAGUGAGGAAGAUUAGGCAAUGGGCGCUGGCCUGAAAAAGCCAAGUAGCGUGAAGGAGGACUGCCGUAGGGAUUGUAAACUGCUUUGAUAAAGGCAUAUAGGCGGGUAAGUAGACGCGAUUGCAGGUACUUUAUGAAUAAGGAUCGGCUAACUACGUG
This 490-nucleotide ribosomal RNA is filed under the name uncultured bacterium. Its description in RNAcentral is "partial 16S ribosomal RNA". It matches the Rfam family "Bacterial small subunit ribosomal RNA", at positions 28 to 507 of the family's 1533-position model. The record is from RNAcentral.